GCCAGGUGUGGUGGCGCACGCCUGUAAUCCCAGAUACUCAGGAGGCCGAGGCAGAAGAAUUGCUUGAGCCUAGGAGGCAGCGGUUGCAGUGUGCUGAGAUCGUGCCACUGUGCUCUAGCCUGGGCGACAGAGCAAGACUUUGUCUCAA
Molecule: unclassified non-coding RNA, 148 nt
Organism: Macaca fascicularis (crab-eating macaque)
Lineage: Eukaryota; Metazoa; Chordata; Mammalia; Primates; Cercopithecidae
Rfam family: Metazoan signal recognition particle RNA
About the family: The signal recognition particle (SRP) is a universally conserved ribonucleoprotein. It is involved in the co-translational targeting of proteins to membranes. The eukaryotic SRP consists of a 300-nucleotide 7S RNA and six proteins: SRPs 72, 68, 54, 19, 14, and 9.
Source: Ensembl